CAAAAAGUGAAUGCUGGCUGAGAAACGCAAGCUGGGAAUACAGCAGAAAGCCAAGGUGAUUGUUGCCAUGUUCACCUACCACCCGCGCUGCGUUCACAUCCCUGAUGUCCAUGCCACCCAAUAGGGCCUACUGCUGUGAUGCUCUGCGAUGGAUGAGCACCUGGGAAAGAGCUGUUGUCUGAAUCCCUUCCUUCUGCCAGGGCUGAGCUCCAGGUUGGAAAAUGAGUAUUGCAAAAGGAAAAGAAGAGGGAAAAGAAUCAUAGAAUCAUUAAGGUUGGAAAAGACCACUAAGAUCAUCUAGUCCAGCUGUCCACCUACCACCAAUACUUCCCGCUAAAUCAUGUCCCUCAGUGCCGUAUCUCCACAUUUCUUGAACACCUCCUGGGACGACGACUCCACCACCUCUCUGGGCAGCUGGUUCCAAUGCAUUACCACUCAUUACCACUCUUUCUGAGAAGAAAUUUUUCCUAAAACCCAACCUGAAUCUCCCCUGGUGCAACUUAAGGCUAUUCCCUCUCGUCCUAUCAAAGAAGUUGGAAAAGAAAAGGAAAAAAGAAAACAGAAAGGAAAAAAAGUGUAAAAAGUAAAAGCAAAAGAAAGGAAAGAAGAAAAGGAAAAAGAUUCAGUUAACAACUCUUUUCUCCAGUCUCUCUGUUGAAACUUGCAGUUUUCUGCACUUGUGAAGGAGGAGGUAGAAGGAUGGAGAUAGCACAAUGAUGACAACACAGGGCAGCAAAAGAGG
Molecule: long non-coding RNA, 742 nt
Filed under: Numida meleagris (helmeted guineafowl)
Lineage: Eukaryota; Metazoa; Chordata; Aves; Galliformes; Numididae
Description: lncRNA (ENSNMEG00000010042.1)
Source: RNAcentral